Molecule: ribosomal RNA, 468 nt
Filed under: uncultured bacterium
Lineage: Bacteria
Description: partial 16S ribosomal RNA
Rfam family: Bacterial small subunit ribosomal RNA
Source: RNAcentral
GACGAACGCUGGCGGCGUGCUUAACACAUGCAAGUCGAACGGAAAGGCCCUGCUUUUGUGGGGUGCUCGAGUGGCGAACGGGUGAGUAACACGUGAGUAACCUGCCCUUGACUUUGGGAUAACUUCAGGAAACUGGGGCUAAUACCGGAUAUGAUCUCCUGCUGCAUGUUGGGGGUUGGAAAGUUUCGGCGGUUGGGGAUGGACUCGCGGCUUAUCAGCUUGUUGGUGGGGUAGUGGCUUACCAAGGCUUUGACGGGUAGCCGGCCUGAGAGGGUGACCGGCCACAUUGGGACUGAGAUACGGCCCAGACUCCUACGGGAGGCAGCAGUGGGGAAUAUUGCACAAUGGGCGGAAGCCUGAUGCAGCAACGCCGCGUGCGGGAUGACGGCCUUCGGGUUGUAAACCGCUUUCGCCUGUGACGAAGCGUGAGUGACGGUAAUGGGUAAAGAAGCACCGGCUAACUACGUG